Molecule: ribosomal RNA, 165 nt
Filed under: uncultured bacterium
Lineage: Bacteria
Description: partial 16S ribosomal RNA
Rfam family: Bacterial small subunit ribosomal RNA
Source: RNAcentral
UAGGGAAUCUUCCACAAUGGACGCAAGUCUGAUGGAGCAACGCCGCGUGAGUGAAGAAGGGUUUCGGCUCGUAAAGCUCUGUUGUUAAAGAAGAACGUGGGUAAGAGUAACUGUUUACCCAGUGACGGUAUUUAACCAGAAAGCCGACGGCUAACUACGUGCCAG